UACAUACACUCUCUGCCGCUGUAAUGUUAUUAGAGCAACACAGCGGAUCGCUCUGGUCUCUUCUGCUCUCUCGCUCUCUUCUCGGAAAUUAAAGCAGAGCUGCAUCAGAGAGUGGAAAAGGUCCCCCUUCUGGUGGUAGGAAGGAUGUAAAAUGCCGGACGGGUGUUUGUUUCUUAAGCAACAAAAGAAGCUGCACGUUUCAUGCAUUCAUUGCGGAUUCAUUUGGAAAGCAGGUCUCUUCUGCACAUUUUACUGCUCCAGCAAGGAAGAAUUUUCCAAAUGAAACAUCUGUAGCAGCUGAGGGUGCUCCAAAGCAAAAGGGCUGAUAAAAUCUACACCUAGUUUUCUGCAUCAAAGAAAACAAACUUCUGGACUGCAGCAAAAAUUUUCCAACUGAAAAAGUCCAACCAGUGAGCAAUUUAAUUAUUCCUACUGUAUUAAAUAUAAUAUAGCAGCAGCAACAUUCCACAUGCAAAUAAAAUAUUUUUGAUGUGCCUUGUC
Hemicordylus capensis (graceful crag lizard) is the source of this 501-nucleotide long non-coding RNA. RefSeq lists it as uncharacterized. The transcript is spliced from 3 exons. NCBI's taxonomy places the organism in Eukaryota, Metazoa, Chordata, Lepidosauria, Squamata, Cordylidae. The record is from RefSeq and is a predicted model, not a curated record.